GGCUCAGAUUGAACGCUAGCGGGAUGCCUUACACAUGCAAGUCGAACGGCAGCACGGACUUCGGUCUGGUGGCGAGUGGCGAACGGGUGAGUAAUGUAUCGGAACGUGCCUAGUAGCGGGGGAUAACUACGCGAAAGCGUAGCUAAUACCGCAUACGCCCUACGGGGGAAAGCAGGGGAUCGCAAGACCUUGCACUAUUAGAGCGGCCGAUAUCGGAUUAGCUAGUUGGUGGGGUAACGGCUCACCAAGGCGACGAUCCGUAGCUGGUUUGAGAGGACGACCAGCCACACUGGGACUGAGACACGGCCCAGACUCCUACGGGAGGCAGCAGUGGGGAAUUUUGGACAAUGGGGGAAACCCUGAUCCAGCCAUCCCGCGUGUGCGAUGAAGGCCUUCGGGUUGUAAAGCACUUUUGGCAGGAAAGAAACGCCGCGGGUUAAUACCCUGCGGAACUGACGGUACCUGCAGAAUAAGCACCGGCUAACUACGUGCCAGCAGCCGCGGUAAUACGUAGGGUGCAAGCGUUAAUCGGAAUUACUGGGCGUAAAGCGUGCGCAGGCGGUUCGGAAAGAAAGAUGUGAAAUCCCAGAGCUUAACUUUGGAACUGCAUUUUUAACUACCGAGCUAGAGUGUGUCAGAGGGAGGUGGAAUUCCGCGUGUAGCAGUGAAAUGCGUAGAUAUGCGGAGGAACACCGAUGGCGAAGGCAGCCUCCUGGGAUAACACUGACGCUC
This 732-nucleotide ribosomal RNA is filed under the name Achromobacter sp. 111117_136_C_D4. RNAcentral describes it as "bacterial SSU rRNA". It matches the Rfam family "Bacterial small subunit ribosomal RNA", at positions 21 to 748 of the family's 1533-position model. Lineage: Bacteria; Pseudomonadati; Pseudomonadota; Betaproteobacteria; Burkholderiales; Alcaligenaceae. The record is from RNAcentral.